RNAcentral lists this ribosomal RNA (1400 nucleotides) under uncultured bacterium. RNAcentral describes it as "bacterial SSU rRNA". It matches the Rfam family "Bacterial small subunit ribosomal RNA". The record is from RNAcentral.
UUAGAGUUUGAUCCUGGCUCAGGAUGAACGCUAGCGGCAGGCUUAACACAUGCAAGUCGAGGGGCAGCGAGAUCAGUGCUUGCACUGAUUGUCGGCGACCGGCGCACGGGUGCGUAACGCGUAUGCAACCUACCCAUUACAGGGGGAUAACACUGAGAAAUCGGUACUAAUACCCCAUAACAUCCAGGGAGGCAUCUUCUUGGGUUGAAAACUCCGGUGGUAAUGGAUGGGCAUGCGUUGUAUUAGUUAGUUGGUGGGGUAACGGCUCACCAAGACAACGAUACAUAGGGGGACUGAGAGGUUAACCCCCCACAUUGGUACUGAGACACGGACCAAACUCCUACGGGAGGCAGCAGUGAGGAAUAUUGGUCAAUGGACGCAAGUCUGAACCAGCCAUGCCGCGUGCAGGAAGACGGCUCUAUGAGUUGUAAACUGCUUUUGUACGAGGGUAAACGCAGAUACGCGUAUCUGUCUGAAAGUAUCGUACGAAUAAGGAUCGGCUAACUCCGUGCCAGCAGCCGCGGUAAUACGGAGGAUUCAAGCGUUAUCCGGAUUUAUUGGGUUUAAAGGGUGCGUAGGCGGUCGGAUAAGUUAGAGGUGAAAUCCCGGGGCUCAACUUCGGAAUUGCCUCUGAUACUGUUCGGCUAGAGAGUAGUUGCGGUAGGCGGAAUGUAUGGUGUAGCGGUGAAAUGCUUAGAGAUCAUACAGAACACCGAUUGCGAAGGCAGCUUACCAAGCUACUUCUGACGUUGAGGCACGAAAGCGUGGGGAGCAAACAGGAUUAGAUACCCUGGUAGUCCACGCAGUAAACGAUGAUAACUCGUUGUCGGCGAUACAGUGUCGGUGACUAAGCGAAAGCGAUAAGUUAUCCACCUGGGGAGUACGUUCGCAAGAAUGAAACUCAAAGGAAUUGACGGGGGCCCGCACAAGCGGAGGAACAUGUGGUUUAAUUCGAUGAUACGCGAGGAACCUUACCCGGGCUUGAAAGUUAGUGACGGAUCUUGAAAGAGGUCUUCCCUUCGGGGCACGAAACUAGGUGCUGCAUGGUUGUCGUCAGCUCGUGCCGUGAGGUGUCGGGUUAAGUCCCAUAACGAGCGCAACCCCUACCGUUAGUUGCCAGCAGGUCAAGCUGGGCACUCUGACGGGACUGCCGGUGUAAGCCGAGAGGAAGGUGGGGAUGACGUCAAAUCAGCACGGCCCUUACGUCCGGGGCUACACACGUGUUACAAUGGCAGGUACAGAGGGCAGCUACCCAGCGAUGGGAUGCGAAUCUCGAAAGCCUGUCUCAGUUCGGAUUGGAGGCUGAAACCCGCCUCCAUGAAGUUGGAUUCGCUAGUAAUCGCGCAUCAGCCAUGGCGCGGUGAAUACGUUCCCGGGCCUUGCACGCACCGCCCGUCAAG